RNAcentral lists this non-coding RNA (24 nucleotides) under Arabidopsis thaliana (thale cress). The record is from RNAcentral. Lineage: Eukaryota; Viridiplantae; Streptophyta; Magnoliopsida; Brassicales; Brassicaceae.
UGGCCUUGGCUCUUAUUGAUCGUC